This 244-nucleotide ribosomal RNA is filed under the name uncultured bacterium. Its description in RNAcentral is "partial 16S ribosomal RNA". It matches the Rfam family "Bacterial small subunit ribosomal RNA", at positions 524 to 767 of the family's 1533-position model. The record is from RNAcentral.
UACAGAGGGUGCGAGCGUUAAUCGGAGUUACUGGGCGUAAAGGGCGCGUAGGCGGUUAUAUAAGUGAGAUGUGAAAUCCCUGGGCUUAACCUAGGAACUGCAUCUCAUACUGUAUGACUGGAGUAUUGUAGAGGGUAGUGGAAUUUCCGGUGUAGCGGUGAAAUGCGUAGAGAUCGGAAGGAACACCAGUGGCGAAGGCGGCUACCUGGACAAAUACUGACGCUGAGGCGCGAGAGCGUGGGGA